RNAcentral lists this ribosomal RNA (344 nucleotides) under Ehrlichia ewingii. RNAcentral's name for it is "bacterial SSU rRNA". It matches the Rfam family "Bacterial small subunit ribosomal RNA", at positions 104 to 483 of the family's 1533-position model. Lineage: Bacteria; Pseudomonadati; Pseudomonadota; Alphaproteobacteria; Rickettsiales; Anaplasmataceae. The record is from RNAcentral.
GGGUGAGUAAUGCGUAGGAAUCUACCUAGUAGUAUGGAAUAGCCAUUAGAAAUGAUGGGUAAUACUGUAUAAUCCCUGCGGGGGAAAGAUUUAUCGCUAUUAGAUGAGCCUACGUUAGAUUAGCUAGUUGGUAAGGUAAUGGCUUACCAAGGCUAUGAUCUAUAGCUGGUCUGAGAGGACGAUCAGCCACACUGGAACUGAGAUACGGUCCAGACUCCUACGGGAGGCAGCAGUGGGGAAUAUUGGACAAUGGGCGAAAGCCUGAUCCAGCUAUGCCGCGUGAGUGAAGAAGGCCCUCGGGUUGUAAAGCUCUUUCAAUAGGGAAGAUAAUGACGGUACCUAUA